GACGAGGGGUCCUAGCGUUGUUCGGAAUCACUGGGCGUAAAGAGCUCGUAGGCGGCUUGUUGCGUCGACCGUGAAAACCUGUGGCUUAACUACAGGCUUGCGGUCGAUACGGGCGGGCUGGAGUUCGGUAGGGGAGACUGGAAUUCCUGGUGUAGCGGUGAAAUGCGUAGAUAUGCGGAGGAACACCGAUGGCGAAGGCAAUCCCCUGGGCCUGCACUGACGCUCAUGCACGAAAGCGUGGGGAGCAAACAGG
This 253-nucleotide ribosomal RNA is filed under the name uncultured bacterium. RNAcentral's name for it is "partial 16S ribosomal RNA". It matches the Rfam family "Bacterial small subunit ribosomal RNA", at positions 524 to 776 of the family's 1533-position model. The record is from RNAcentral.